CUGGCGGGCUGCCUAAUAAUGCAAGUCGUGCGGAGGUCUUCGGACCUUAGCGGCGAACGGGUGAGUAACACGUGGGCAACCUGCCCCUAAGACUGGGAUAACUUCGGGAAACCGGAGCUAAUACCGGAUAAUCUUAUUCUCCUCAUGGAGAAUAAGUAAAAGGCUUCGGCCACUUGGGGAUGGGCCCGCGGCGCAUUAGCUUGUUGGUGGGGUAACGGCCUACCAAGGCGACGAUGCGUAGCCGACCUGAGAGGGUGACCGGCCACACUGGGACUGAGACACGGCCCAGACUCCUACGGGAGGCAGCAGUAGGGAAUUUUCCGCAAUGGGCGAAAGCCUGACGGAGCAAUGCCGCGUGAAUGAUGACGGUCUUCGGAUUGUAAAGUUCUGUUCUCUGGGAAGAAGUUCUGACGGUACCAGAGGAGAAAGCCCCGGCUAACUACGUGCCAGCAGCCGCGGUAAUACGUAGGGGGCAAGCGUUAUCCGGAUUUAUUGGGCGUAAAGCGCGCGCAGGCGGUUCAUUAAGUUAGGUGUUCAAGGCAACGGCUCAACCGUUGUACGCACCUAAAACUGGUGGGCUUGAGUGCAGAAGAGGAGAGCGGAAUUCCUGGUGUAGCGGUGGAAUGCGUAGAUAUCAGGAGGAACACCAGUGGCGAAGGCGACUCUCUGGUCUGUAACUGACGCUGAGGCGCGAAAGCGUGGGGAGCAAACAAGGAUUAGAUACCCUGGUAGUCCACGCCGUAAACGAUGAGUGCUAGUGUCGGAGACUUCCCGUCUUCGGUGCGAAGUACCCAUUAAGCACUCCGCCUGGGGGAGUACGCCGCAGCUGAAACUCAAGAAUUGACGGGGACCGCCACAAGCCGGCUGGAACAAUGUA
This 877-nucleotide ribosomal RNA is filed under the name uncultured bacterium. Its description in RNAcentral is "bacterial SSU rRNA". It matches the Rfam family "Bacterial small subunit ribosomal RNA", at positions 36 to 946 of the family's 1533-position model. The record is from RNAcentral.